GAUGAACGCUGGCGGCGUGCCUAAUACAUGCAAGUCGAGCGAACGGACGAGAAGCUUGCUCCUCUGAUGUUAGCGGCGGACGGGUGAGUAACACGUGGAUAACCUACCUAUAAGACUGGGAUAACUUCGGGAAACCGGAGCUAAUACCGGAUAAUAUUUUGAACCGCAUGGUUCAACAGUGAAAGACGGUCUUGCUGUCACUUAUAGAUGGAUCCGCGCUGCAUUAGCUAGUUGGUAAGGUAACGGCUUACCAAGGCAACGAUGCGUAGCCGACCUGAGAGGGUGAUCGGCCACACUGGAACUGAGACACGGUCCAGACUCCUACGGGAGGCAGCAGUAGGGAAUCUUCCGCAAUGGGCGAAAGCCUGACGGAGCAACGCCGCGUGAGUGAUGAAGGUCUUCGGAUCGUAAAACUCUGUUAUUAGGGAAGAACAUAUGUGUAAGUAACUGUGCACAUCUUGACGGUACCUAAUCAGAAAGCCACGGCUAACUACGUG
Molecule: ribosomal RNA, 497 nt
Filed under: uncultured bacterium
Lineage: Bacteria
Description: partial 16S ribosomal RNA
Rfam family: Bacterial small subunit ribosomal RNA
Source: RNAcentral